This 497-nucleotide ribosomal RNA is filed under the name uncultured bacterium. RNAcentral's name for it is "partial 16S ribosomal RNA". It matches the Rfam family "Bacterial small subunit ribosomal RNA", at positions 28 to 507 of the family's 1533-position model. The record is from RNAcentral.
GAUGAACGCUGGCGGCGUGCCUAAUACAUGCAAGUCGAGCGAACAGAUAAGGAGCUUGCUCCUUUGACGUUAGCGGCGGACGGGUGAGUAACACGUGGGUAACCUACCUAUAAGACUGGGAUAACUUCGGGAAACCGGAGCUAAUACCGGAUAACAUUUGGAACCGCAUGGUUCUAAAGUGAAAGAUGGUUUUGCUAUCACUUAUAGAUGGACCCGCGCCGUAUUAGCUAGUUGGUAAGGUAACGGCUUACCAAGGCGACGAUACGUAGCCGAUCUGAGAGGGUGAUCGGCCACACUGGAACUGAGACACGGUCCAGACUCCUACGGGAGGCAGCAGUAGGGAAUCUUCCGCAAUAGGCGAAAGCCUGACGGAGCAGCGCCGCGUGAGUGAUGAAGGGUUUCGGCUCGUAAAACUCUGUUAUUAGGGAAGAACAAAUGUGUAAGUAACUGUGCACGUCUUGACGGUACCUAAUCAGAAAGCCACGGCUAACUACGUG